This 98-nucleotide transfer RNA is filed under the name compost metagenome. RNAcentral describes it as "tRNA-Arg". The record is from RNAcentral.
UCAGAUCGUGGACAAGGCUAUUGUACAGACUGCCUUUCUCAAGCAGGAGAUGGCUUCGAAGUUUGGCGUAACCGAUGUGACAGUCAUCCCGAUCGGAU